CUCACGGACCGCGAGAUCGUGACCUGAGCUGAAGUCGGACGCUUAACCGACUGAGCCACCCAGGCGCCCCUCCUUGUGUCUAAUCUUGCUCAUAUUUAUUUUGGUAAAAUUUGCCUGAGAAAGACAUUUUGUUUUGGAAAGUAGAGAGAGAAAGAAAUUAAGGGAUUGUUUCUCUAAUUUUCCCUUUCAGAACUGUAAUUUUGAGACUUACGAGGACUUUGAGGCAGUUAAAAACCUCUGCAUGUGAAGGAUUGUUCUUUCCUGUCUAUUUCUUGCCCCUAUUUAAGAGCAGGAAGAGCCCGUAGGUAGCAUUUCUCUCUAAGCUAAGCGACAGCAUGCUUCCAACACCUGAAUACAUUGAUCUGGCACCCGUCACCCCUGAAGUUGAGGCGACACGUGCAGCCGCAGAAAUCUUGCUGAUAAAAACCCUCUUUUUCAAGCCGCUAACUACUACUAAGACAUUCUUGCAUAAAGGGUAUAAAGAGAUUUCAUUUCAAGCAUCAUUGAGUUGUGAAGGUAAGAAUUACGCAUAAUUUGUUUCCUCGGACCUGUUAUUUGAGAGGCCUUAUUGAUUUUCAUCGGUGACCACAUAUAACUUGCAACAUUUCCCUCAAUGAUCAUUUUGAUUGCACUUGUGUUAAAAUAGCAUCCAGAGCACAAUUAGAGGGGAAAGGGAGAUUUCAUUUAGAACUCCUGUUUUAUUGAGUGCCUGCUUUGUGCUAUAUGGCAAAAGUGGAGUCUGUGUGUGUGUGUGUGUGUGUGUGUUUCACAAGUCUCACCAAGUGUAGUGACUCUUAGAAGUUAUUAGCUUCUGAAUACCUUUAGACCAUGAAACAAUAUUUCCCUUUGUCUCCCUUUGUCUUUGUUAAUUAGGAAAAAUUGCCACACUUCCCAGUGGUAACAUGUCUAAUUUAAUAACCUGAGAACCUCAUGCUUGAAAAUAUAAUGAAGCGAACUAAAUACCAUGGCUGUUUUAUAAUUACUAAUACAAAGCAUAUUGUAACGAAACUUCACUGAUUAGAAAAGACUCUUAUAAGGCACAGAAUCAGAUGAGAACUACAGCUCUAUCUGCAAAAUUUAAUAUAAUUAUCAAUCAGGAAAUUGAGCCUUGAACACAUAGGCUGACAGGGCAGAAUUUGUUUGAAGACGGAGAGGAUCAGCCAAUAAAUCCCCUGCCAGAUUUGUUUCUUUGUUCUGCAAAAAACACGCAGAAAUAAAGGUAGUGGAACUUUGACUCUCUCUUCUCCUUGGGAAAAGUUUGCAUCAUUUCGUUUCCAUCGGGAGCUUAAGUGAUCACCCCAGCACAACUGGCGAUUUUACUUGAAGUGUUGGUAUCUUGUAUUCCCUGCCUGAGGCAGAAUUUCUGUAUACUGUAGAAAAUCUGGUCUCUUUCAGUAUUUUUAUUUAAAAGAAUCAUAUAGGUGGCAUUAUGGCAUGAUGGGACUUACACUGAAUCCCAGGUAGAGUCUUCCCUAGGUGUAGGACCACAGGGAAAGAUGAAAUUUGGCAGGUGACUUACCCUCAGUAUCUCAAUGUCCUCAUCCAAAAACACAGAUGCUUCUUACGGGGAUUAAAUGAGAUUUCACUAUAAAGCACACGACCGGAUGCAUCAAACGUAUCAAAAAAUGUUUUCCUUUCUUUUCUGCCCUUUCCUGCUGGGCAAGCGGCCGUGACAUGGGAACAGUGACACACACAAAGACGUAGUGUGAUGUGUGAUUUUGAAGCUGUGGCACAAUUUAUUUUAUUUAUGUUUAAGUGCCUUUAGUUCUGUGGGGAGGGUCCAACCCUGAGUGCGGGGGGAGAUGGUUGGGUGGGGUGAUUCAGAGCUUGGAGGUGAACAAAUGCAAGCUUGCGUGAACUUGAAUCCUGGGUCUGCUCCAUAUGAGUUCUGUGGCUCUGUGGAGAUUACUUAAUCUCUGGCAGCCUUAUUGUCUAGAUGGGGAUAGUCUUAGUAUCAUUGGCUAAGGGAUUAAAUAGGAAAGGUUAAAUGGAAAAGCAUAUGGAAACCUCAUGCCAUAGCGGACCCAUGGAUGUUUUUCUGUGUUGUGGUAUUUUAGGUCUCUUAUCAUUAUCUUUUUUUAAAUGUUUAUUUUUGAGAGAGAGAAAGAGCGAGAGAGAGGGAAUGAGCCAAGGAGGGGCGGAGAGAGAGGGGGACAGAGGAUCUGAAGCAGGCUCUAUGCUGACAGCAGAGAGCCUGAGGUGGGGCUCGAACUCAUGAACCAUGAGAUCAUGACCUGAGCUGAAAUCAGACGCUUAAACAACUGAGCCACCCAGGAGCCCUUCAUUAUAUCUUUUACAUAUAUAUUUUAUAUGACGUGUAUUUAUAUAUGAUAUAUCUAUAUAUAGAUCUUUGUGUCUUUUAGAAUUCGCACACUCUUGCGAGGCCUUUCACUUCACUCAUCUACCCCCUUAUGUCUGACGUUGGUAUUUGAAAUUCCCUUAAGGUAAAACCUAGGUUUUUAUUUCCCCAUUUCACAACCACUUUGACUCUGCAAAUUUUGCAAACAUAGUUUAAUUAGUUUGAGUGGAUCUGUGAUUGGUGGUGGAAUCAGAUUUUUUUUUCCUGGUAACCGUGGUAGCAAGGAGGCUCAAAAGCAGGCAAAAACUAAUAAUACACGUUCCUCCGGAGAAUAAAAAUGUCUCCACGUAGUUCCUCCAAAAUUACAAAAUCAGUUUCAGGGAGUUGAGGAGGUAGAAGUUCCAAAAUGUUGCAUAUUUCAAAACCUCUUCCCAUUUCGUGUUUGUGUCAGCCAGUUUUUCCCCCAAGGAACAUUUAUUGAGCAUCUAUAGGACGCAGAGUUUGGGAUGUGAUCCUUGCUCUCAAGAUAUUCAAGGAUGGGGGCAGGAAGCAGUGGGGACAGGUGCACAAGUGGGUAGCUGUCAUACACCUUAUGGGGACAGCGGUAAAGAACUACAGUGAUGUUAAGGGGACCUGAGAAGGCAAGGAAGGAAGGGAAAAACGGAGUAGGUGACGGAUGGGGAUUGGUUCUAAGUCAGAGGCCAGUUCUACACUCCUUGGAGGUGUUGAGAAUGUAUAGGUGCAUUUCUGGUUGUCAUAGUGAUUGGGGUGUGGCCUGAUUGGCCCUCAGUGAGUGAAGGCCUUCCACGUACAGGAUAAUGUCACGCAGCAAAACCAGUUGUCUGACAAACGUCAGCGGCGUUGUGGGUGGCAAACAUUGAGCAAAGAGGGGAAACCAAAGGAGUCAUAUUUAUAUGCUGUGUGUACUAUAGGCUUGGGGAAAAGAUUUGCUUUGGGCUCGCAGCAUUUGUGAAAAUAAAGGCAAUUAAAAAGCGGGAAUCUUCUUUUCCCAUCUACUGCCUUUGGUCGGGGUAUCUUGAACUGGUUUUUCAAUCCCAUGACUUUCCCAAAGCUUAAUGUGAUGAGGCGUGUUUGCUUGAACAUGCCCAUGGAGGGUCUGGGGCCUCUUCUCAAGAGCCUGGAGAAUGAGUCCGCCCAGAUCACCCUCAGAAUGAUGAAACCCCAGGAAAAAAAAAUUUCCAUUUUUUUUUCUUUCCAACAGACUGCCAAGUUAAGAAGGGGCCAGCUAUAAAACACUAGUGACAUUCUGAACCAGAAAAUCUGUUUUCCUUUGCUUUGAUUCAUUUUAAAAUAAAAUAGAUUUGCUCAGACAUCCAGUGCAGUUAAUAGACUUGUCCCUGAUGGUGGCCUAAAAGGAGAGAAGACACCAGGAGAAAUAAUUAAGUUGUGUACGUACACGAGCAGAAGGAAAGGAAGACGAACAGGAGAUACGAGUCUAGGAGCCUCAGGCCCCAGUAGUGCACCUGCUGAUCGCAGAGGAUGUAGCCCAAUAGGGAAGGCACAGACAGGGGGCCCCAGCAUUUCAGCAGAAACCAGAGUCUCAUGAUGAUAUAUGCAAAGGUUCAGACUCCACUCCAUUAAUUCCAGACUUUUGCAGAGGCAUCUGUAGGCCAGGGCUGGGGAUGGGGGGAGGAGGUAAGACAGAUGGGAAGAGGGGUAAGGAGACACUGGGUUAGAUAGCCCCUCCCUUGACUUUUAGUAGGCAUCUCUGACCCUUAUGUAUAUUGGAGUUCUGUGUAAGAUUACAUUUGAAAAUAGUAAAAAGUAUUUUCCCUUAAAAACGAUUUGAAAAACCACUGGUUUAAAAAAAAAAAAGCAUUGAAGUGCUCAUUCCUGUGUUGGCUAUUCAUUUAGAAAUUAAUCUGCUGUGCAACUUUGGUCAAGUGCCUGCGCCUCUCUGUGCCCUUGUUUAUUCCCUCGUCUGAGUGAUAAACGAUUCAGACUAUAAUUUCUUUUUUUAUUAAAUUUUUUUUUUAAUUUAUUCAUUUUUGAGAGAGGGAGAGAGGGCGUGAGCAGGGGAGGAGCAGAGAGAGAAGGGAGACAGAGAAUCCGAAGCAGGCUCCAGGCUCUGAGCUGUCAGCACAGAGCCCGAUGCGGGGCUCAAACUCAGAAACUGUGAGAUCAUGACCUGAGCUGAAGUCAGAUGCUUAACCGACUGAGCCACCCAGGCACCCCGUGAUGAGAAUUUCUAAGGAUCCUUUAGCUUUAACCUUCUGUGAAUUUUUAAAUGUGUUAACCAAUUUGCUGCCCUGUUGUGAAGGAGAAGGAUUUGGUGCCCUGAGAGUGGAUUGCUUUCAUGAGCCGCACAGAAGACCUAGGAGAAUCUAGGUUUUUGAUCUGAAAGUUAUAAGAGGUGUGAAAUGAAAAUGAGGUUAUUGGUGGAAAUUCACAGUUUCCUCCUCUCACAGUUGCUAGUGUUUUCAUCAAGGCAGAACGUCUUGACAAAGUACAAGAGCCCUAACUCACCGAUUUAUUCCAUGUUGUAGUUUAGGCUUUUCACCGAAAACGACUAGUGGGCCAGCCUUCCACCAGCUGGAUGUUAGGUUUCUACGGAGUAACAUUUGUACGGUUGGAUUGUCCAAAAACAGGCCUUUCAGCUGGCGAUAAAUGGUUUUAGUCAGAUACAGGUGCAUGGGGUAUACAUUUAUUUGUCCAGGAGUCCUUUUGAUUAAACAAAACUGUCUGUGUGGCUGGGCUUCCAGUGUAAUGCAAGGAUCUGAACUCACUGUCCAGCCUGUCUGUUCUGACAAUUCUGACUUUGCUUCCCAUUUCCCUGUUAGCAUUUAAAGACUUGUGUUACUGGGGCACCUGAGUGGCUCAGUCGAUGGAGUGUCUGACUUCGGCUCUGGUCACGAUCUCACAGCUCAUGAGUUCGAGCCCCGUGUCGGGCUCUGUGCAGACAGCUCAGAGCCUGGAGCCUGCUUCGGAUUCUGGGUCUCCCUCUCUCUGUCCCCCCCACCCCACCAACUCAUACUCUCGUCUCUCUCUUUGAAAAAUAAGCAAAGACUAAAAACAAAACAAAACGAAAAAAACAACUUGUGUGACUUAUUUGACCUGCAUUCAUUUGAAGCAUCUUCCGCGGCCGAAGGUUCCAGCUGCUCGUACUUCUGUCUCCUCUGUUUGCCUGCGUGAGUCCCUUGGCCAUUUGCCAGCCACUUACAAUGGUUUUGCAGGAGUGUUGAAGGUAGCCUGGCUCUCUGCUUGUUUUGAAAUACAGUCGCUGGCAUUGUAGUCGUUUGUGGAGGAUGACCUCCGUGGGAAAGAGAGCCAGGAAAUCAAAUCAGAGGAGAAGAGUAGGGCCUUAGCACAUCUUCACUCGGUGAUUACAAAUCCGCACGUGAGUAGUACGUACUGUGUGUGAAUGGCCUCACAACACCCCUACGAGGAAGGUAUUAUUAUUACUGUCGUCGUCAUCACCACCACCCCCCCUCCUAAUUAUAGAUGAGGAGACUGAGGCUUAGAGAAGUUGAAUAAUAUUCACAAGCCAGUGUUGAUUGCUUUGCAGACUUUGUUAAGCUCACUUCCCCUUGGUGGCUGUACGUGGAAAUGAUACAAAGACACAUGGCCGUGUAGUCCUUCACACAUAUGCUCUUGUAGUCUAAUAUCCCAGAUUUUUGUACUAAUUUAAAUUGCAGUGGGAAUGCAUGGCCUUUAUUAAGUUAAUUCACACUCGGGUCUGAUGAAAUGUCACGGACUCCAGGUGACAUCUGCCUGGUAGUUAGUAAGAGCUUUGGGUUGGGGGCUGGCGUUUUCUUGGCGUCUCGCCGAAGCGUCCGUCCUCGUGGUGUGUCCAAGCGGGGCGCAGCCUGGCCCACGGGCCCCUAGCCACCGAGCACGUGGCCACGGGUGUCUCUCAGUUACAUUUUGUAAUUCUGCAGUUGAGAACACUCCAUCCCGUUCCUUCCCUUGUUGUGCCUGAAAGCAGCUGGGAAGCCUGAAGUCUUUGUUUCCUUCGGCGCCUGCUUAGCAGACCAAUAGCGAGAGAAAAGGAUUCGCUACACAUUGUUUCUCAGCCUUUCUCGCAAGAAAGGAAUACGGAUAGGUGGGUUCAAGUGACGUCAGGUCUCAGCGCCAGUUUGUUUUGAUUGUCCAGCACGACUCCUUUCCGAACGCUCUGAGUAUUUAACAGUGCCGUGACCCAGAAGUCUCUGUGCUGCGGCUGACGCAAGCCAAGUUCACCCGCACUCUCCAAGGAGCUUUUUUGCAAGUUUUCCCAGUGUUGACCUCACCACAUCUUAUGAACAGCCUGAGAUUCGUAUCGGAAGUAGGUCCAUUCACGUUGUUGCAAAUGUCAAGAUCGCAUUCUUUUUUUGGCUGAGCAAUUUCCACAUCUUUUUUAUUCAUCUACCAAUGGACAAUAAAGGCUGCUUCCAUAUUUGGGCUGUUGUAAAUAAUGCUGCCAUAAGUAUGGGGGUACAUCUACUUCUAUGAUUGUCUUCCCGAUGAAAGAACCCCACUACAUUAUCAAACGAUUCUCUUGAUCUCUGCUGUCUUGUAGCAAUCCUUAAAGCAUGCUAGAUGCUGAAGAGUUUCCAUCGAGAUGGUGGACCAGGAAUGCUUUUUGAAAGCCAGAAAGGAUCCAGAGGUAUCACUUCUGAUCAUUCUGUCACAAAUGCUUUGGGAUUUUUAUCUAUUUUUAUUUUUAGAAAAUGUUUAUUUAUUUUGAGAUAGAGGGAGAGAGAAAAUGAGUAGGGGAGGGGCAGAGAGAGAGGGUGAGAGCACAGAGCCCGACGUGGGGCUCGAUCCCAUGAACUGCAAGAUCAUGACCUGAACUGAAAUCAAGAGUCGGACACUUAACCCGACUAGCCACCCAGGUGCCCCUGGAUUUUUAAAUUCAUUAUUAUUUCUUUUUGGUGCCAGAGGCAGCAGAGUUCCCAGGGACUGGUCCAUAGUUACAUGGGUGUUGAGAGCAAGGACUGAAAUAUCCAUUUUGCUGACGUCAUUUGUAGCUGAACGUGUGUGGCCCUGGAACCAGCAGCCACAGCGCUAGCUCUGAUUCCCCGAUUCCUGAUCACGACUGAGACAGUGGCUUCAGUGGAGGGUCAUUUUGGAGUGGGUGUCACUCCUUAAAGAUCAGCCUCGCAGCUGCUCACAACGCCCUUCCAGUGAUUUUUCUAAGCUCUUGUUUCUCCAAAGGAAAUGUCUUUUUUUCCUUAGAUAGAAUGAUUUCUGCUCCUUCAGCUCGAGACUGAUGGAUGAACAUGGUAUAUGAAGCUCCCACUCACAUCCUCCUCCUGUCCUUCCUGGCCCCACACUUUAUGUCCCAGCUCCAUCAGACUAGGGUCAUUUCCCCCACAUACCCUGCUUGUGCGUGCCUCUGUGUCUUUGCACCUGUCGUUACUCCAGCCUGGCUCAUCUCAAUCUUACUUCCCUGCCUACCUGUGUUUUGAGCCUCUGGAAGUCUGGAAUCAUCUCCGGGAAGUCUCUUGAAGUACCCUUCCUCCCCUCCAAGUCUGGCAGGUGCCCUUUCUUCCCACACAUUGUCUCCAUGACACCAUGUUAUAUUUGCAACACUCCGCUUGUAGGUUGAGACUAUGAGCACCUUGAGGGGCAGAACCUCUUCCUGCUUUUCUUUGUUACCCUCUAACUCGGCAGCCUAGAACAAUUCUAGCGUUCAUCCAUGCUUUCUUUUCUGAAUUGAACUUGUGCCUUUUAGCAUUCCUACUGA
Acinonyx jubatus (cheetah) is the source of this 7988-nucleotide long non-coding RNA. RefSeq lists it as uncharacterized. The record is from RefSeq and is a predicted model, not a curated record. NCBI's taxonomy places the organism in Eukaryota, Metazoa, Chordata, Mammalia, Carnivora, Felidae. The transcript has 4 exons.